AAACAAGUACACUUUUAAGGAUCUCAUAAAGUGGGAUCAUAUGUUGCUUUAUACUUCGAGUCAAUAAAUUUGGAUUCCUAGAAGCAAUUAUAGAAAUUCCCAAUCUUGAAACCCCUAUAGAUCGCAGAAACUCAAAUUUGGGCAAGAGCGUCUUUUCUGGUUGAGAUAACAGCACCUGUGGGCGACACUCAACAAUUUUGCGGAUUUGGGAAUUGGUGAAUCCAUGUUCGCUGAGAAGCCUAAGUACAGAGUCUGGUUUUUCAGUGG
RNAcentral lists this unclassified non-coding RNA (267 nucleotides) under Hevea brasiliensis (rubber tree). The record is from RNAcentral. Lineage: Eukaryota; Viridiplantae; Streptophyta; Magnoliopsida; Malpighiales; Euphorbiaceae.